This 468-nucleotide ribosomal RNA is filed under the name uncultured bacterium. RNAcentral describes it as "partial 16S ribosomal RNA". It matches the Rfam family "Bacterial small subunit ribosomal RNA", at positions 28 to 507 of the family's 1533-position model. The record is from RNAcentral.
GACGAACGCUGGCGGCGUGCUUAACACAUGCAAGUCGAACGGAAAUGCCCUGCUUUUUUGGGUUGCGCGAGUGGGGAACGGGUGAGUAAGACGCGAGUAACCUACCCUUGACUUUGGGCGAGCUUCAGGUAAGUGAGGAUAACACAUGACAGGAGCUCCUGCUGCUCGGAGGGGGGGGGAAAGUAUCGGCGGUGGGGGUUGGACUCGCGGCUUAUCCGCUUGUUGGUGGGGUAGUGGCUUACCAAGGCUUUGACGGAUAGCCGGCCUGGGAGGGUGACCGGCGACAUUGGGACUGAGAUACGGCCCAGACUCGUACGGGAGGCAGCAGUGGGGAAUAUUGCACAAUGGGCGGGAGCGUGAUGCAGCAACGCCGCGUGCGGGAUGACGGCUUUCGGGGUGUGAACCGCUUUCGCCUGUGAUGAAGCGUGAGUGACGGUAAUGGGUAAAGAAGCACCGGCUAACUACGUG